CAGCAGCCGCGGUAAUACGUAGGUGGCAAGCGUUGUCCGGAAUUAUUGGGCGUAAAGGGCUCGCAGGCGGUUUCUUAAGUCUGAUGUGGAAGCCCCCGGCUCAACCGGGGAGGGUCAUUGGAAACUGGGAAACUUGAGUGCAGAAGAGGAGAGUGGAAUUCCACGUGUAGCGGUGAAAUGCGUAGAGAUGUGGAGGAACACCAGUGGCGAAGGCGACUCUCUGGUCUGUAACUGACGCUGAGGAGCGAAAGCGUGGGGAGCGAACAGGAUUAGAUACCCCAGUAGUCCCUGUCUCUUAUAC
Molecule: ribosomal RNA, 301 nt
Filed under: uncultured bacterium
Lineage: Bacteria
Description: partial 16S ribosomal RNA
Rfam family: Bacterial small subunit ribosomal RNA
Source: RNAcentral